UACGUAGGUGGCAAGCGUUAUCCGGAUUCAUUGGGCGUAAAGAGCGCGUAGGUGGUCCUUCAAGUCAGAUGUUAAAUCUCCCGGCUUAACUGGGAGUGGUCAUCUGAUACUGCUGGACUUGAGGAUGGUAGAGGGAGGUGGAAUUCCCGGUGUAGUGGUGAAAUGCGUAGAUAUCGGGAGGAACACCAGUGGCGAAAGCGGCCUCCUAGGCCAUUCCUGACACUGAGGCGCGAAAGCGUGGGGAGCGAACAGG
This 253-nucleotide ribosomal RNA is filed under the name uncultured bacterium. RNAcentral's name for it is "partial 16S ribosomal RNA". It matches the Rfam family "Bacterial small subunit ribosomal RNA", at positions 524 to 776 of the family's 1533-position model. The record is from RNAcentral.